UGCGGCGUGCUUAACACAUGCAAGUCGAGCGAAGCGAUUUAAGUGAAGUUUUCGGAUGGAUCUUAGAUUGACUGAGCGGCGGACGGGUGAGUAACGCGUGGAUAACCUGCCUCACACAGGGGGAUAACAGUUAGAAAUGACUGCUAAUACCGCAUAAGCGCACGGUACCGCAUGGUACAGUGUGAAAAACUCCGGUGGUGUGAGAUGGAUCCGCGUCUGAUUAGGUAGUUGGUGAGGUAACGGUCCACCAAGCCGACGAUCAGUAGCCGACCUGAGAGGGUGACCGGCCACAUUGGGACUGAGACACGGCCCAAACUCCUACGGGAGGCAGCAGUGGGGAAUAUUGCACAAUGGGCGAAAGCCUGAUGCAGCAACGCCGCGUGAGUGAAGAAGUAUCUCGGUAUGUAAAGCUCUAUCAGCAGGGAAGAAAAUGACGGUACCUGACUAAGAAGCCCCGGCUAACUACGUGCCAGCAGCCGCGGUAAUACGUAGGGGGCAAGCGUUAUCCGGAUUUACUGGGUGUAAAGGGAGCGCAGACGGCACUGCAAGUCUGAAGUGAAAGCCCGGGGCUCAACCCCGGGACUGCUUUGGAAACUGUAGAGCUAGAGUGCUGGAGAGGCAAGCGGAAUUCCUAGUGUAGCGGUGAAAUGCGUAGAUAUUAGGAAGAACACCAGUGGCGAAGGCGGCUUGCUGGACAGUAACUGACGUUCAGGCUCGAAAGCGUGGGGAGCAAACAGGAUUAGAUACCCUGGUAGUCCACGCCGUAAAC
RNAcentral lists this ribosomal RNA (769 nucleotides) under uncultured bacterium. RNAcentral describes it as "bacterial SSU rRNA". It matches the Rfam family "Bacterial small subunit ribosomal RNA", at positions 38 to 807 of the family's 1533-position model. The record is from RNAcentral.